This 125-nucleotide small RNA is filed under the name Marmota monax (woodchuck). The record is from RNAcentral. Lineage: Eukaryota; Metazoa; Chordata; Mammalia; Rodentia; Sciuridae.
GCCGGGCAUGGUGGCACACGCCUGUAAUCCCAGUGGCUUGGGAGGCUGAGGAAGGAGGAUCGUGAGUUAAAAGCCAGCCUCAGCAAUGGCAAGGCAUUAGGCAACUCAGUGAGAUCCUGUCUCUA